RNAcentral lists this ribosomal RNA (433 nucleotides) under uncultured bacterium. RNAcentral describes it as "partial 16S ribosomal RNA". It matches the Rfam family "Bacterial small subunit ribosomal RNA", at positions 29 to 507 of the family's 1533-position model. The record is from RNAcentral.
AACGAACGCUGAUGGCAGGCUUAACACAUGCAAGUCGAGCGCAUCCUUCGGGGUGAGCGGCGGACGGGUGAGUAACGCGUGGGAACGUGCCCUCUUCUACGGAAUAGCCUCGGGAAACUGAGAGUAAUGCCGUAUACGCCCGCAAGGGGAAAGAUUUAUCGGAGGAGGAUCGGCCCGCGUUGGAUUAGGUAGUUGGUGGGGUAACGGCCUACCAAGCCGACGAUCCAUAGCUGGUUUGAGAGGAUGAUCAGCCACACUGGGACUGAGACACGGCCCAGACUCCUACGGGAGGCAGCAGUGGGGAAUCUUGGACAAUGGGGGCAACCCUGAUCCAGCCAUGCCGCGUGAUCGAUGAAGGCCUUAGGGUUGUAAAGAUCUUUCAGCUGGGAAGAUAAUGACGGUACCAGCAGAAGAAGCCCCGGCUAACUCCGUG